UUAAGCGACUAAGCGUACACGGUGGAUGCCCUGGCAGUCAGAGGCGAUGAAGGACGUGCUAAUCUGCGAAAAGCGUCGGUAAGGUGAUAUGAACCGUUAUAACCGGCGAUGUCCGAAUGGGGAAACCCAGUGCAAUUCGUUGCACUAUCGUUAACUGAAUACAUAGGUUAACGAGGCGAACCGGGGGAACUGAAACAUCUAAGUACCCCGAGGAAAAGAAAUCAACCGAGAUUCCCCCAGUAGCGGCGAGCGAACGGGGAGCAGCCCAGAGUCUGAAUCAGCUUGUGUGUUAGUGGAACGGUCUGGAAAGUCCGACGGUACAGGGUGAUAGUCCCGUACACCAAAAUGCACAGGUUGUGAACUCGAAGAGUAGGGCGGGACACGUGGUAUCCUGUCUGAAUAUGGGGGGACCAUCCUCCAAGGCUAAAUACUCCUGACUGACCGAUAGUGAACCAGUACCGUGAGGGAAAGGCGAAAAGAACCCCGGCGAGGGGAGUGAAAAAGAACCUGAAACCGUGUACGUACAAGCAGUGGGAGCACCUUCGGGUGUGACUGCGUACCUUUUGUAUAAUGGGUCAGCGACUUAUAUUCUGUAGCAAGGUUAACCGUAUAGGGGAGCCGCAGGGAAACCGAGUCUUAACUGGGCGUUAAGUUGCAGGGUAUAGACCCGAAACCCGGUGAUCUAGCCAUGGGCAGGUUGAAGGUUGGGUAACACUAACUGGAGGACCGAACCGACUAAUGUUGAAAAAUUAGCGGAUGACUUGUGGCUGGGGGUGAAAGGCCAAUCAAACCGGGAGAUAGCUGGUUCUCCCCGAAAGCUAUUUAGGUAGCGCCUCGUGAACUCAUCUUCGGGGGUAGAGCACUGUUUCGGCUAGGGGGUCAUCCCGACUUACCAACCCGAUGCAAACUACGAAUACCGAAGAAUGUUAUCACGGGAGACACACGGCGGGUGCUAACGUCCGUCGUGAAGAGGGAAACAACCCAGACCGCCAGCUAAGGUCCCAAAGUCAUGGUUAAGUGGGAAACGAUGUGGGAAGGCACAGACAGCCAGGAUGUUGGCUUAGAAGCAGCCAUCAUUUAAAGAAAGCGUAAUAGCUCACUGGUCGAGUCGGCCUGCGCGGAAGAUGUAACGGGGCUAAACCAUGCACCGAAGCUGCGGCAGCGACACUAUGUGUUGUUGGGUAGGGGAGCGUUCUGUAAGCCUGCGAAGGUGUGCUGUGAGGCAUGCUGGAGGUAUCAGAAGUGCGAAUGCUGACAUAAGUAACGAUAAAGCGGGUGAAAAGCCCGCUCGCCGGAAGACCAAGGGUUCCUGUCCAACGUUAAUCGGGGCAGGGUGAGUCGACCCCUAAGGCGAGGCCGAAAGGCGUAGUCGAUGGGAAACAGGUUAAUAUUCCUGUACUUGGUGUUACUGCGAAGGGGGGACGGAGAAGGCUAUGUUAGCCGGGCGACGGUUGUCCCGGUUUAAGCAUGUAGGCUGAUUGUCCAGGCAAAUCCGGAUAAUCAAGGCUGAGGUGUGAUGACGAGGCACUACGGUGCUGAAGUAACAAAUGCCCUGCUUCCAGGAAAAGCCUCUAAGCAUCAGGUAACAUUAAAUCGUACCCCAAACCGACACAGGUGGUCAGGUAGAGAAUACCAAGGCGCUUGAGAGAACUCGGGUGAAGGAACUAGGCAAAAUGGUGCCGUAACUUCGGGAGAAGGCACGCUGGUGUGUAGGUGAAGUCCCUGCGGAUGGAGCUGAGACCAGUCGAAGAUACCAGCUGGCUGCAACUGUUUAUUAAAAACACAGCACUGUGCAAACACGAAAGUGGACGUAUACGGUGUGACGCCUGCCCGGUGCCGGAAGGUUAAUUGAUGGGGUUAUCCGUAAGGAGAAGCUCUUGAUCGAAGCCCCGGUAAACGGCGGCCGUAACUAUAACGGUCCUAAGGUAGCGAAAUUCCUUGUCGGGUAAGUUCCGACCUGCACGAAUGGCGUAAUGAUGGCCAGGCUGUCUCCACCCGAGACUCAGUGAAAUUGAACUCGCUGUGAAGAUGCAGUGUACCCGCGGCAAGACGGAAAGACCCCGUGAACCUUUACUAUAGCUUGACACUGAACAUUGAGCCUUGAUGUGUAGGAUAGGUGGGAGGCUUUGAAGCGUGGACGCCAGUCUGCGUGGAGCCAACCUUGAAAUACCACCCUUUAAUGUUUGAUGUUCUAACGUUGGCCCCUGACCGGGGUUGCGGACAGUGUCUGGUGGGUAGUUUGACUGGGGCGGUCUCCUCCCAAAGCGUAACGGAGGAGCACGAAGGUUAGCUAAUCCUGGUCGGACAUCAGGAGGUUAGUGCAAUGGCAUAAGCUAGCUUGACUGCGAGCGUGACGGCGCGAGCAGGUGCGAAAGCAGGUCAUAGUGAUCCGGUGGUUCUGAAUGGAAGGGCCAUCGCUCAACGGAUAAAAGGUACUCCGGGGAUAACAGGCUGAUACCGCCCAAGAGUUCAUAUCGACGGCGGUGUUUGGCACCUCGAUGUCGGCUCAUCACAUCCUGGGGCUGAAGUAGGUCCCAAGGGUAUGGCUGUUCGCCAUUUAAAGUGGUACGCGAGCUGGGUUUAGAACGUCGUGAGACAGUUCGGUCCCUAUCUGUCGUGGGCGCUGGAGAAUUGAGGGGGGGCUGCUCCUAGUACGAGAGGACCGGAGUGGACGCAUCACUGGUGUUCGGGUUGUCAUGCCAAUGGCACUGCCCGGUAGCUAAAUGCGGAAGAGAUAAGUGCUGAAAGCAUCUAAGCACGAAACUUGCCCCGAGAUGAGUUCUCCCUGAGACUUUAAGUCUCCUGAAGGAACGUUGAAGACGACGACGUUGAUAGGCCGGGUGUGUAAGCGCAGCGAUGCGUUGAGCUAACCGGUACUAAUGAACCGUGAGGCUUAACCUU
This 2901-nucleotide ribosomal RNA is filed under the name Klebsiella pneumoniae. RNAcentral's name for it is "bacterial LSU rRNA". It matches the Rfam family "Bacterial large subunit ribosomal RNA". Lineage: Bacteria; Pseudomonadati; Pseudomonadota; Gammaproteobacteria; Enterobacterales; Enterobacteriaceae. The record is from RNAcentral.